Molecule: ribosomal RNA, 405 nt
Filed under: uncultured bacterium
Lineage: Bacteria
Description: bacterial SSU rRNA
Rfam family: Bacterial small subunit ribosomal RNA
Source: RNAcentral
UGGGGAAUAUUGCACAAUGGGGGGAACCCUGAUGCAGCGACGCCGCGUGAAGGAAGAAGGUAUUCGUAUUGUAAACUUCUGUCGCAGAUGACGAAAGGAUGACGGUAAUCUGUAAGAAAGCACCGGCUAACUACGUGCCAGCAGCCGCGGUAAAACGUAGGGUGCUAGCGUUGUCCGGAAUUACUGGGUGUAAAGGGAGCGCAGGUGGCAGUGCAAGUUGGAUGUAAAAUCUACGGGCUCAACCCGUAUAAGCAUUCAAAACUGUGCAGCUUGAGUGAAGUAGAGGUAGGUGGAAUUUCCGGUGUAGCGGUGGAAUGCGUAGAUAUCGGAAGGAACAUCAGUGGCGAAGGCGACCUACUGGGCUUUAACUGACGCUGAGGCUCGAAAGCAUGGGUAGCAAACAGG